GACUGAAGUGAUGAUUUAUUUUACACAAUAUUGUCUGCAAUAUGGUAUGAUGAUCUAUAAUACAUGCACUACCAUCUGAUCAAUCUUUUAGUCACUCAGUUUUUUCAUUAUUUCCUAUUUUUUUUGUAAAUCCCAAAUUAAAAAUGCAUACGUUGCAAUCGAUGAUGCAAAUCUACAUUUUAAACUGAUGUUUUGCUGUGAUUAACAUAAAUUAUCACCAUCUUUCGGUUGAGAUUGCA
RNAcentral lists this long non-coding RNA (239 nucleotides) under Helianthus annuus (common sunflower). Lineage: Eukaryota; Viridiplantae; Streptophyta; Magnoliopsida; Asterales; Asteraceae. The record is from RNAcentral.